UCAGACGAUGCGUCAUGCAUAUCAAUAAGCGGAGGAAAAGAAACUAACAAGGAUUCCCCUAGUAACGGCGAGUGAAGCGGGAAGAGCUCAAAUUUGAAAUCUUAAAGGGUUUCCCUUUACGAAUUGUAGUUUAAAGAAGUGUUUUCUGUUGAGGUUUUGGUAAAAGUUCUUUGGAAUAGGACAUCAUAGAGGGUGAGAAUCCCGUAUUUGACCUUUACUUUCAACUUUGUGAUACACUUUCAAAGAGUCGGAUUGUUUGGGAAUGCAGUCCAAAAUGGGUGGUAAAUUUCAUCUAAAGCUAAAUAUUGGCGAGAGACCGAUAGCGAACAAGUACCGUGAGGGAAAGAUGAAAAGAACUCUGAAAGGAGAGUUAAACAGUACGUGAAAUUGUCAAAAGGGAAGCGUUUGACACCAGUGUUGUUUUUCUGAAAAUCAAUUAAAGAACUGUUUAUGCUAAGUUGUUUAGACUUUAUCAGCUAUCUGUUUAGUUUUGAGCUUUUCUUUAAUGCACUUUUCAGUUAACAAGUCAACAUCAAUUUCUUUUGCUGUAAAAAAGCUUGAGGAAGGUGGCUUGAGAUUCGUCUUAAGUGUUUAUAGCCUCUUGCCUAUGCAGUCGGAGAGAUUGAGGUCUGCAGCGUAGAUCCUUCGGGGCUAAAUGCAUUUGUGCUAAGUUAUAGCAUUUUAUAGACAACUUGUUAACUAUGAUUUGUCUUGUAGCUUACUCGCUUAUGUUAUUUUACCUACGCUUAGGAUGUUGACACACGCGCGUGCUCG
RNAcentral lists this ribosomal RNA (774 nucleotides) under uncultured Neocallimastigales. Its description in RNAcentral is "partial large subunit ribosomal RNA". It matches the Rfam family "Eukaryotic large subunit ribosomal RNA", at positions 18 to 643 of the family's 3401-position model. Lineage: Eukaryota; Fungi; Neocallimastigomycota; Neocallimastigomycetes; Neocallimastigales. The record is from RNAcentral.